UAUUAACCCCUUACCGCAUACAGAGCCAUAUAUGGACGACGAAGUUUAUGAAUUUUUUAUAGGCUAACUAUAAACAAUAUCUAAAAAAACUACCUUACAUCUUAAACAGCAUUUCAUCGAGAAUUGGAAUGUAAUUAAUUUAUACAGUGUAAAUAUUAUCCAUCAGAUAUAUUAUAGAUUUAGUCUAGCGCGUGCGACGGUUUGGGUGCGCGGAAAAAACCGUGAUUUUCAAAUUAAGAUUUCAAUAUCAAAAAGGUCUAAUAAACACUUUUUUGCAAAAAAAUAAUUUUUAUUUCAUCUCCUUAAUAAUUCAUGCAAUAAGGGGUUAAAUAGAUGCAUUAUACCAUUUA
Long non-coding RNA from Colias croceus (clouded yellow), 350 nucleotides. RefSeq lists it as uncharacterized. The transcript has 2 exons. NCBI's taxonomy places the organism in Eukaryota, Metazoa, Arthropoda, Insecta, Lepidoptera, Pieridae. The record is from RefSeq and is a predicted model, not a curated record.